GAUGAACGCUGGCGGCGUGCCUAAUACAUGCAAGUCGAGCGAACAGACGAGGAGCUUGCUCCUCUGACGUUAGCGGCGGACGGGUGAGUAACACGUGGAUAACCUACCUAUAAGACUGGGAUAACUUCGGGAAACCGGAGCUAAUACCGGAUAAUAUAUUGAACCGCAUGGUUCAAUAGUGAAAGACGGUUUUGCUGUCACUUAUAGAUGGAUCCGCGCCGCAUUAGCUAGUUGGUAAGGUAACGGCUUACCAAGGCGACGAUGCGUAGCCGACCUGAGAGGGUGAUCGGCCACACUGGAACUGAGACACGGUCCAGACUCCUACGGGAGGCAGCAGUAGGGAAUCUUCCGCAAUGGGCGAAAGCCUGACGGAGCAACGCCGCGUGAGUGAUGAAGGUCUUCGGAUCGUAGAACUCUGUUAUUAGGGAAGAACAAAUGUGUAAGUAACUAUGCACGUCUUGGCGGUACCUAAUCAGAAAGCCACGGCUAACUACGUG
Molecule: ribosomal RNA, 497 nt
Filed under: uncultured bacterium
Lineage: Bacteria
Description: partial 16S ribosomal RNA
Rfam family: Bacterial small subunit ribosomal RNA
Source: RNAcentral